Ananas comosus (pineapple) is the source of this 417-nucleotide long non-coding RNA. RefSeq lists it as uncharacterized. The transcript has 2 exons. Lineage: Eukaryota; Viridiplantae; Streptophyta; Magnoliopsida; Poales; Bromeliaceae. The record is from RefSeq and is a predicted model, not a curated record.
UGACGGUUCGUCAAUUCGUUGAGCGGGUGCGACGUUCCGGCUGAAACAAGUGCUAAAAGGUCCGUUUUGGCCGAGGAGCCGAGGCGGCGUGCAAAGACCGCGGAGACAAGUUUUCUAACCUUGCGGCGUUACCAAAAGGUACUAGUUCGAGUAUUCCCAGCGAGCGGGAGGAUCGUGGCAAGGGCUUAGCGCCCUAGCGGUGUCGGUUGAUAGUUUGCUUCCUAUAUUGCAUUAGUCCUACCCUAUGUUUACAUUUUGAGAGUAGAUGAUGUAUAGGGUGAGGUUUGAGAGGAUGUAUGUAUUUACAUUUUGAAAAAGAAUGCAAGUUGUAUUAAAUGGGUAAAGUUUAAUGAUGUUAAAAGAGGUUAAUGUAUCAAAGUUUUAUGUUUAAAUAGUUAAGUUUAUCUCUCUUUUGUA